Molecule: ribosomal RNA, 830 nt
Filed under: Salmonella enterica subsp. enterica serovar Anatum
Lineage: Bacteria; Pseudomonadati; Pseudomonadota; Gammaproteobacteria; Enterobacterales; Enterobacteriaceae
Also listed under: 1 other name
Description: partial 23S ribosomal RNA
Rfam family: Bacterial large subunit ribosomal RNA
Source: RNAcentral
GACCGAUAGUGAACCAGUACCGUGAGGGAAAGGCGAAAAGAACCCCGGCGAGGGGAGUGAAAAAGAACCUGAAACCGUGUACGUACAAGCAGUGGGAGCCCCACCACCAAAGCAUUCUCUGGUGUUGAAGGCCCUGCAAAGCAGCAUCGCGGUGGCGGAGCGUCGUUUGCGACGCCCAACACACAAAACAAGCGGUGAGUGCUUUGGGGUGGGGUGACUGCGUACCUUUUGUAUAAUGGGUCAGCGACUUAUAUUCUGUAGCAAGGUUAACCGAAUAGGGGAGCCGGAGGGAAACCGAGUCUUAAUUGGGCGUUAAGUUGCAGGGUAUAGACCCGAAACCCGGUGAUCUAGCCAUGGGCAGGUUGAAGGUUGGGUAACACUAACUGGAGGACCGAACCGACUAAUGUUGAAAAAUUAGCGGAUGACCUGUGGCUGGGGGUGAAAGGCCAAUCAAACCGGGAGAUAGCUGGUUCUCCCCGAAAGCUAUUUAGGUAGCGCCUCGUGAAUUCAUCUCCGGGGGUAGAGCACUGUUUCGGCUAGGGGGCCAUCCCGGCUUACCAACCCGAUGCAAACUGCGAAUACCGGAGAAUGUUAUCACGGGAGACACACGGCGGGUGCUAACGUCCGUCGUGAAGAGGGAAACAACCCAGACCGCCAGCUAAGGUCCCAAAGUCAUGGUUAAGUGGGAAACGAUGUGGGAAGGCCCAGACAGCCAGGAUGUUGGCUUAGAAGCAGCCAUCAUUUAAAGAAAGCGUAAUAGCUCACUGGUCGAGUCGGCCUGCGCGGAAGAUGUAACGGGGCUAAACCAUGCACCGAAGCUGCGGCAGCGA